UGCCCACGCACAGGCCCACGCAUCCACACAAGUGGGCCGGAGACCUCGGAUAGCGGCAGAGGCGCACAUUGUUCUCUUGCUGCUUUUUUUUUUUGGUGCACCCUUGCGUGCUUCUCAUGCUGCGUCGCCGCUCUACUGCGUUGGCGGCGAGGAAGCUGCCCAAUCCGGGCAGCUCGCUUCUUAACCCUCGCAGCUAUCGCGCCAAGCUGCGCCGUGCUGCAGCCAUGGGGGCGCAGCAAGAGGCGCACUUUGAACAGCAAGCCAUGCUUGCUGAGCUCGGUGGGCCCGGCAGGACAGGGGCCGCAUCACCGCCCCUGUCCUCCUCUUCGCGUACGGCGAAGAGUCGCAAACAGCGCCGCAAGCAUCAUGUACAGCAAGUGGUUGGCAAGGACGUCGCCGAGCGCGCCAAGUCGAUGACAGAUGCGGAGUGGGAGAGUUUACCUAUGGCGGACAAGCAUGCAUUCACUAAGUACAUGAGCAAGCUCUUGCGCGAGCACCCGACGGAGGCGACAGAGCAGCAGCGGCGUCGCUACUUUGAAACGACCAUGGCUGACCCGCGCGACCUCGAUCCGAGUCGCACCGUGCGAGACGAGUUCGAGCGACUGAAGAUGGGGCUGCCCGUGCAGCUCAAAGACCCACAGCGUUCACUUGGCGUCUCGCAGGCCAUAUUCGAGGCCGGUGACGCAAGCCUGUUUGACCCUGACAAGGUGGACGCACUGGAAGAUGCAAUGGUGCAGAUUAAGCAGGUGUUUACGGACUACGUGCGACAGCGCCGCGAGGGCGUGAGCACGGAAACGGCCCGCCGCAAGCUGGCGAACAUGCUGGCAGACUUGAACGUCGAGACGCAGCGACAUCUGAGCCACAUGUUCAAGUACGCGGAGGAGAGGGUUCGGCAGGAGGCGCGCGAGGAGCGGAAGCGGCAGCUGAGCGAGCUGCAGCGGCUGCGGCGACUUGUAUCGUCGCCAACACGGCAUCGCACUUCUCCGUCGUCCGAGCCAUCUGCUCCGACCCCCUCCACCGGUGCGUCGGUACCGGAAGGCGGCGCGUGCCCUUCGACGUCGUGCUCAGCAGUGGAUGCAGGCCUAGGCGCCGGCCAUGACACCUUCUCUCCGUCUCCUGCAGCUCUUGCCAAGACGAAGAAGCGCGCCGCCUUGAGCCGGUCACUGGGCAAGGCUCUCGGCUUGGAGCUCAGCGUCGUGGAGAGCCUCAUCACGGAGCUGGAGGCGCAGGAGAAGUUCAUGCAGUUCUGUGAGGUGUUUGCUCGCCUCACCGUCUCCCAGGGGUUCCGCCACGGCCCCGAGGACGAGCGCCUCGACGCAUACACGGAGAGCCUUAGGCGGCUGUACUCCGUAGACGCGAAUAAGCUCAGCACACUUGACGUUGUGCAGUACCUCGCCGCCAAGGAGGAGGCGCACCCAGUGGACUGGGCAAAGCGGUGGUACGAGCGCCUUGUCCGCAUCCCGCUCGAGCACACGACGGAGUACAAGCGACUGGAGGCGAUCCGCGACGGCGACACGGCGGCGCUGGAGCUGCAAGCCCGGGUCGCGCGCGAGGCGGACGCGCCGGUGUCCGCAGGCCACGAAGCCGCCAUGCAGGCCGAGCGGGCGGCUGCCGGUGGGCGCACGCAGCAGGCGGUGCGCCUGGUAGAGAAGAUGUUCAUGCGCCCAGACGACCCACGGCUGAAGAGUUUACACGAGCGGAGACUGCGGUACAUCGCCUAUUUGCAGAUGGAGCGGCAGAUCGCGCAGGCACGUGAAAACGCGAAGAUUUUCGAGGGUGUCGAAGCGACAGCAGAAGCGGCGGAGUGCCGAAAACUCUACGCGCAGCUCAUGGAGCGUAAGCAGCGGCUCGCCGCGCUCGGCGACUCUGUCAACUCCUCAGCAGCUUCCACCACCGAGGCUGGCGGCACCGAAUCGAUGGGCGGCUCUGCCGCUGCGACCUCCGGUGAUGUCGCUACCGCAGUCGCCGCGACUGCCGGCAACGCGAACGUGUUUGAGCAAGACGCUGAGGCUGCCGCAUUGUUCGAGCAAAUUGGCCGCAUCACCCAAUCAGUCAUCCGUACCUACAGCCGAGAGACACGCCGACGUAGCAAGGCCGCCGCCAAGGCUGAGGUAUUCACGCGUGUGAUGCAGCAGGUUGGCCUCACGAACGCGGACGGCAGCCGUGCCGGCCGCGCCGAGGAGCUUCAGCGGCUGCUGCAGGCGAAGAAGGACAAGGUGGCGCAGCGUCUGCUGAAUGUACUAGAGGCGGACGUGAAGUCCGACUUGGAGUGGCUGGAUGCCAUGGACGAGGCUGAGCGGCCACCGCUUCUGCCCAUCCCAGAAGGCAUGUCCUACGUCUCUGCCGCGGAUGUGCAGGCCUGGAAGGAGGUCCGGGAUGCUGACAAGGCCCUUUCUGCCGACCCGUUUCGCAAGAACAAGAAGCGGUUUCAGCCACAGCUUUUUGGGCAGCAGUGGCAACUGCCUGAUAAGCCGCUUCUGUUUUGGGGCACCGGAACACGGGCGGUGCAGCAGGCGCUGGAACACGCCGCUGACGAUGCAGAGCGGCGCCGUCGUGGUGAGCCGCUGGCGCCGCCGUACCCCUGCCCAGAGAAUCCGUGGGGCUGGAGACUCGUCAAGGACGUCCUCGAUGAUUAAACAACCCCAGGGCCCUCGUGAGGAGGUGGUGCGCCCUCCUGCCUGCACGUGUGUGCCUGGGUGUCUUCUUCACAUGUCUGCCUGCACUCAUGCUGUACCCGCGCAUACGCACACGCGUGCGCUCAUUCCGCGUCCGCGUUCCUCUGCGCGGCGCUUUGGAUGCAUCUGUGCUCUGUUGUGUGCAUGCCUGCGCCCCCCCCCCCCCGAGGAUGUUUUCUUCCUUUCCUCAUAAUCGCUCCCCUCUAUCACACUAACGCCAAACACCCAUCAACAAGCAACUGCGUCGUCGUAUUUCGUCUUUUUCUUAUGGGAGAGCAGUGCGUCUCAUACUCGCCCCCCGAGUGCUCGCACGAAUUCGACGUUCUUACCUCAUCCCCUCUUGCGAGAAACCACCGUGGACGGAUGGCUUUCGCGUGCCUUCGUCUGUCGUUGUGCAGCGGCGCAUGCGAGGAUGCCGAUUCCUCGUUAUUACUGUUUUUUUUUUCUUGUGUGGACGCGACGGUGAUCAUACGCUUACGCGCUCUUCUCGCUGCCUCGCCAUCGACUAUUUCGGGGGCGAGGAUAGAUGCCAGAGGUACACGUCUGCUCCACCGCUGGCUCUCUCUCGCGUGUGCCACCCAUAUCUUUUUUGGAUCUCUUUCUCUCUCUCGUCCUCAUCCGCCCCUCCUCACGCGGCCACAUGGCACCGCCGCUGCUGCGGUGCUGCGGCCCCAUAUUCCUUUCUUCCCUCUCCCACUCGCGCCCUCCCACGUCGAUGCGUAG
RNAcentral lists this unclassified non-coding RNA (3398 nucleotides) under Leishmania donovani. RNAcentral describes it as "gene:LdHU3.32.3540(CDS-product:kinteoplast_poly(A )_polymerase_complex_1_subunit_putative)". The record is from RNAcentral. Lineage: Eukaryota; Euglenozoa; Kinetoplastea; Trypanosomatida; Trypanosomatidae.